CUGUGAUGUAAACAACGACCACUACUUCCGGUUAUGGCCGCAGGUAUGUUUUUUCCUGAUUUCUAAAGCGGUUUGCGGGAAAUUAAAUUGAUAUUUUUUGCACACUCUGUUUAUUUCAUAUCACUAAUUUUAGAACUAGUAUCAGUUUUACGGAUAUUUUUUAUGGUUUUUGGUGCUGAGCGCGCUAACAGCUAGUUAAAAAAAACUGACUUGAUAGCACAUUGUUAAGCUAGUUACGUUUUUCUCGUUUCGACCGCAUUUGCAGCAGUUUAAACGCAACUGUCCAUUUCUCGCUGUAAACAUCAAUGCCCAGACCUCUACUCAAGGAAGUAAAGGAGACUUUCAAGGAGUGAACUUUGAUGGUGAUGGAGAGUGAUGGAUAACCCGACAGCAAAUAAGAGCCACAUUCCCUGUCCGUCUUGGAUGGCCCAGAAUGGCUGGUCAGCAGCUUCAUCUCAGAACCCGCUCGUCAGCCUUCUCCCCACCUCCUAUGAGCAUAUGCAGGCACCCAAUCAGAGUUGUACUAACAACUUGAACACUGUAUCUUCCAGAAACAACCCUCAUGCUGACAUGUAUAAAACCUCUCAUAUUGGCAGCAUUCCAUCAUCCAGCUCGCUGUUUGCCACAGAUAUCCCAAAUCUCUCUCAAGGUAUUUCUUUUAAUCAGCAAAGCUCUAACCUUUCAUCGAUCAUGGUAUCAGCGAACCAAGGAAAAAAUGUUACCCCACCAGCUCUUCGACAGUCAAACCAAGGACUUCAGCUUUGUGGGCCCCAGGAUUUAUCUGUUCUCUCAUCCCACAAUGCCUUCAAAACAUUUCAAAAUCCAAUAUCCAGUCAGGGUUUGUCAAGUGGGAUUCAAGGUCUACCCCCCCGCCUGCCGUCAUGCAGACAACAUCAAGCUGCUUUUGAAGGAGAAAAUGUGGAGUCCGCUCAUGGUGCAGGAAACACUCAAAGCUAUACCUCAUCCACCUCUCAGGAGCAGCCUGAGUGGUUACCUUCAUCACAUUGCAGAGGAGCUGUGAAUGACCCUGUCCCAAAAGCAGCUGUUCAAAACACAAAUAGAUCUACUACGGCCAGCAGUGAAAAGCGGCGUUCAGAUGUUUUACAGCAGCGCGCUGAGCUGCUUAAACAACUGGCAGAGAUGGAUAAACUUCUGAAAGCAUUGCCAUCAGAUAACAGCAGCGAUGGGCAGUCGUCAGAUGAUGAGCCACCUCAGUGUGAACAGACUGCUGCAAAUUCAAAGUCGCGUAAUUCAGCAAAUGGUUCUUCACCUUCAUACUAUGACGAAGAAAAUGAUGCUUGUGAUACGCCAGAGUCACCUGCAGAAUCGCUGAAAAAGGAAGUUGUUUCAGACAUGUCAGGGGACGACGAUGAUCAGGAUUACUCACCAGGGAGUGAUGAAGAGUUCAAAGAAGGUUCUUCAGAUGAAUCCAGUCAUAGCGAUCCAGAGUCCCCCGUGAGUGAAGAACCGCACCAAGAAGAGCAGAACUCAAAAUCAGAAAAUUCUUCAGGAAAGGAUAAAGGAGUCACUCCUGUAAAGAGGAAACCUAUGAUUAGUCAGGCAGAAGCGUCACAAACGCCAGUGUUGCCAGCUGUAAAACGACCAAAUUCAAAAGCUCGAUUUUAUGACAAGAAGAAUUACUGCUUAUUUUGCUCCAAGGCUGUAUUAAAACUGUCACGGCAUUUUGAGUCAAUUCACAGUGACAAACCAGAGGUUGCAGCUGCAUUUCAGUAUCCCAAACACUCCAAAGAAAGACAAAAUAUAUGGAAAAAAUUAACAAAUGAAGGAAACUUUGCACAUAAUAAAAAUGUUUUGAAAACAGGAGAGGGAACUCUUGUCGUACGACAAAGACCGAAAGUGCUUGGACAGGCCCGUGACUUUCUUCCUUGUCUUCACUGUCAUGGUCUUUUUGUGAAGAGAAACCUGUUCAAACACAUGAGGACGUGCCCAGCGAAAAGCAAGAUUGAAAAGGAUUCAGGUAUUGGAAAAAAGCGCAUUGCAUCAAUGUGUGUGCUGGCAACUGUGGACUGUGAAGACCGUGGCAUAAGUGAUGUCUCUAGGAGCAUUCUGAAUGAAAUGAUAUACGAUGAUGUGACGCGAGCUGUCAUGGAUGACAGGAUUCUCUUGCAGUUUGGGGAAUACAUGUACAAUCAUUAUGGCCGUGAUGCGAAAAAGCACCCAUAUAUAAGACAAAACCUUCGUCAGAUAGCAAGACUUGUGCUUGAGGCUCAAAAAACGACCCCAAUGAAGAAGCUGGAGGACUUCUUUCACCCUUCAAACUUCCAGCGUGUGGUGUCUGCAGUGAACGUCCUGGCAGGCUAUGAUUCAGAAACUAAAAUUUACGCCGCUCCUUCCGUUGCAAUCAAGCUUGGUCACAGCCUGCAGAAGACCUGCAGUAUUGUUAAGGAUAACGCGGUAAAGUCUGGUGAUACAAAACAGGCAGAGGCUGCUAAAAACUUCCUCUCUGUGUACCAAAAGAAGUGGACUAAGCUUGUUUCUUCGGCCGCAUUAAGAAGUCUCAGAGAAAUUAAAUCAAAACGAGCAAAGCAGAUACCACUUGUUCAAGAUAUGAAGCGCUUGCAUUUCCACUUGGAGAAGGUUCAUACUACAGCUGAGAAGAAUCUACGAGACAGUCUUUCUACAGAAAAUUUUGUCGCUCUGGCCAGAGUCAUGCUUUCCCGGAUAAUCCUCUUCAACAAGAGAAAGCCUCGAGAGGUUGCAACGAUUCAGCUGACGGAAUUCAUGUCACGAACAAAGUCAGAUCCGCCUGAUGACUUGGACCUGUCUGUCACAGAGUUGGAAAAAACCAUGUGUAGGUUCUUCUCCAGAGUUGACGUACGUGGGGACUGUGGGAGAAAAGUCCCUGUUUUACUGAAGCCCUCAUUUGAGUCGGCUCUGGAGCUUCUAGUGGAUUCUCGUGAGGCAUGUGGGAUCACCAGUAAGAAUCCCUUCGUCUUUGCCCGACCAAAUGCUCUGUCUAACUACAGGGGGACAGAUUGUCUUCAAGGAUUUAUCAAAGAAUGUGGAGCUCAAAACUCUGAAGGUCUGACAUCAAAAAAUGUCCGCAAGCAUUUUGCAAAAAUGCUACAACUGAUGAACCUGGAUGAAAAUGAAGCCAACCAAAUUUUUGGGCCUAAUAACAAAAUCCAGAUCCUGCGGCAGUGCAAUGACUCCACACUGGAUGAUAUUGAAAUGGAUUCUGAAGCUGACUCGUGGGAUCAUAGUGAAGGCAGACCAGCAUCUCUUAAUCAACAAAAACAUGGAGGAAAAAGUGCCAACAAAUCUAUCAGAGGCUCCAAAUGUACACCCAAACACGUAUGGGGGGAUGCUGAGGUUCAUGCUGUAGAAAAACACAUGAUGCGCUUCAUUCAGGAGCACAAAGUGCCCCAGAAGGACGACUGCGUCAAGUGUCUUGAAGCUGAGGCAAAAGCACUGAGGAACCGCACGUGGAAAGGUCUAAAGAACUACGUCCGAAACAGGAUCACAACUCUGAAAAGACAAAAUGACUCUUCGCAGGAUUCUCCGACCAGCUGCAAAAGGCCCAGAGAAGCAGAACCACAGCAAACGAGACAGUCUUCGAGUGGACGACAAGCUGACUCACAGGAUCACGAUGAAGGUUCUACUGCAGACAGUGGAGAGGCACCUUUUAAUCAUCAAAAAGCACAUGGAGAAACAAGAAGCUCCAGCAAGACUACACGUCCCAAAUCUGUCAAAUCAGGUGGACAUGGUUCCCUUCAUAAAACUAAACACACGUGGGAGGAGGCAGAGGUCCACGCUGUAGAAAGACACAUGAUGAGUUUCAUUCAAGGCCACAAGGUGCCUCAGAAAGACGACUGCAUAAAGUGUCUUGAUGCUGAGCCAAGAGUGCUGAGAAAUCGCACGUGGAAAGGUGUAAAGGACUACGUCAGAAACAGGAUCACAACCCUACAAAGACAAAGCGGCUUCUCCCUGGAUUCACCGAAAAGCAGGAAAAGGCCCAGAAAAUCAGCAGAGCCACAGCAGAUGAGACAGUCUGCAGGUGGAGAACAAGCCAGUUCAUGGGAUCACAAUGACUCCUAUGCAGGUGGUGGAACAGAAAUGUUUUAUGAUCAACAAGAAGAUGAAGAAACAACAAGCUCCAGCAAAACGAGCAGAUCUGUCAAAUCCAGUGAGAAAGGUUUCCACCUUAAAACUAAACACACGUGGGAGGAGGCAGAGGUCCACGCUGUAGAAAGACACAUGAUGAGUUUCAUUCAAGGCCACAAGGUGCCUCAGAAAGACGACUGCAUCAGGUGUCUUGAUGCUGAGCCAAGAGCGCUGAGAAACCGCACGUGGAAAGGGGUGAAGGACUACGUCAGAAACAGGAUCACAACCCUGCAAAGACAAAGUGACUGUUUCCAAGAUUCACCAAAAAGCAGGAAAAGGCCCAGAAAAUCAGCGGGACAGCAGAGUACUCCACAUUACCAACAGCUGUAGAUUUGAUAUGAUGUUAAUACUCAAACCUGCAACAUUUCACAUCCUUCAGCUGACUUAUUGUUCUUUAGUCUUUCUGUCCAUUUGUAUAUCAGAUGUGAGAAUAUCUUUCCAUUAUGGUUCUCAGUUUUUGUUUUCUUUUUUUUUAUGUUUUAUUUUAUCAAGUUUGUUUAACAGAGACUGUUCAUGAAUACUGAAAAAUUACUGUUUUAUUCACAUUUAGAUAAAAGGUUUUUUUUAUGGUGUUCCUGGGUACUGUGACCAAUUUUGAAUACAGUAUCUGGUUACAUUGGUUGGUAUACUGGCACAUGAUGCUUUGUUAAAAUAAAUGUUCAACAGUAAAGUCUCAAAAAUAAUAUUGUAGCUUUUUUUUUGGCCAGGGGGGCAAAACCUUGUAUCUUGAUGGCACAUUAUUGUACACCAAGAGUGUACAGGAGUGGUAGGAAAAUUAGUCAUUCAGAAUGUUUGAAUUUGAUCAAAUAUAACUAUAAAAGGUUCA
Molecule: long non-coding RNA, 4951 nt
Organism: Astatotilapia calliptera (eastern happy)
Lineage: Eukaryota; Metazoa; Chordata; Actinopteri; Cichliformes; Cichlidae
Source: Ensembl